Aedes albopictus (Asian tiger mosquito) is the source of this 11783-nucleotide long non-coding RNA. RefSeq lists it as uncharacterized. The record is from RefSeq and is a predicted model, not a curated record. Lineage: Eukaryota; Metazoa; Arthropoda; Insecta; Diptera; Culicidae. The transcript is spliced from 2 exons.
AUGAUGGACGUAAUAUUUGAAUCUUCCCAUAGUGUUUUUUUUUGUAAAUGAGUCACAUGUGAGUAUCUGGAGGAGAGGUUAAAAACAUAGUGUAUAGAUUAGACCGGCCCACAUUUGUAUGAAGCGAAAAAAAAGUUUUCAAAAUUCACGGGGUACCCUCUAGAAUCGUGUUUUUGGAUGAGAAGAACAAUCUAAGAAAGAUUCAGCUCAAUCGGUUGAAAACUGAGCUGGCGCAAAUGAGUUGAAGGUUUGUAUGGGAUGUUCAGUCCAAUUAUAUGGGAAAUUGGAUGACCUCCAGUCACUCAUACAGCACGCCGGUUUGGCGAGUUCGAUUUGGCUCAGAAUUGAAAGAAUAGCAGUUGAUACCCUAAUGAACAACUUUGUAGAAGACCAUAUCAUGAUAAAACUUAAUUUAGUUGCGGUUUUAGCCAACGAAACCAGGAUUUGGACAUCUUCCUCUGUUUACUCUCGGUUGUUACAUGCAGUACGUGUUUGUCGUUCGAAACUUGCUCACUACAUCAUAGGCGGCUAUGUUGUCUUUCAUUUUCAUUGCUCACGCAUGUGGGUGAGUAUCGAGACAAUGUAGAAUUACAUAGCUGCCUAUGAUGUAGCGCGCAAGCUACGGCCAACCAACACGUGCUCCAUAUAACAACCGAGAGUAAACAGAGGACGAUGUUCUCAUCCUGGUUUCUUUGGCUAUAACCGCAACUAAAUUAAGUUUUAUCAUGAUAUGGUCUUCUACAAAGUUGUUCAUUAGGGUAUCAACUGUUAUUCUUUCAAUUCUGAGCCAAAUCGAAUUCGCCAAACCGGCGUGCUGUAUGAGCGACUGGAGGUCAUCCAAUUUCCCAUAUAUUUGGACUGAACAUCCCAUACAAACCUUCAACUCGUUUGCGCCAGCUCAGUUUUCAACCGAUUGAGCUGAAUCUUUCACAGAUUGUUCUUCUCAUCCAAAGGCACGAUUCUAGAGGGUGUCCCGUGGAAUUUUUCGACAUUUUUAUAUUUGGGCCGGUCUAGUAUAGAUGCAUUAAGUGCUAGCCUCAAUUUGUUGAUAGACGCCAUUGACACAUUGCUAUAAAUGAAAUCACAGUAAGUGAUUUUAGGCAAAACCAACGCCUUAAGUAAUUUUAUUUUGGCGGUAGUGUCCAAAUGACGAGUUGAGCGAUUCAAUUGUUUUAAUGCACCAUAGACCUUCCCACAUUGUGAGUUGAUAUAUGCAUCCCAACUGAAACUAGAGUCUAUGAUGACACCAAGAUCCGACGCCUGAUCAACAAAAUUGAUUAAUUCUCCACCAAGGAAUAAGCAGCCAAGGAUGCAGCAACUUCAGCAAUGUUCAAUCUAUUUCAUUGAACAGGACUAUUGUCAUACCGAUAAGUCAUCGGAUAGACAGCGCCCGAAGCUCACAACAAUUCUUAAAAGAUUCCUCUCCCGCUCUAACAUUCAUGCACACAACAAAUUCAUCAUUCAUAUUGCUAAUCAAACGCGUGUUUCUGUUGCGUGUAUGAAUGUCAGAGCAACCAAAUGUUUUAGUGGUUUGUUUUUAUCAAAUUAAAGUUGGAAUCCAAACUUCAUUGCCGGUCAAAACAAACAAAAAGAUCAGUUGAAAUAACCAGCGUUUUGGUUAAAAUGUACCUACAUAUUGUCUUUUCUAGAAUUAAUAAAUUCAAAUAACAAAUCUAUUAUAAUUUGAAUGAAUAUCCUCUCAAUUAGGAGAGCGCAAUUUGUAGUACCUGUAGGAUAGUUUUCGCUUUGUCAAAUCCGUCAGGAACUGAUGCCCAGCACAGCCAUCGAAGCCUCUUUCAUCACUGUCUUCAAAACAGUUCCGGCUACUAAGGUUCACUUAAAGCAGAGAUUAUUUUUAACCACGUCACUUUGUUCAUCAUAUAUUCAUUUAUCCUAUUCUGAAGCCAACAGCACAACGCAUUUUAUGAUUUACUUCGCAUUUUCUGCACUUUUUAAUUUGUAGCUACGGUUUAAGGAUGGAUUUGAGAAAUCUUAUGCGCCAUACCAAAAUAUUUGGGUUCGCAUAUGAAACAUCUUAAAAGAGGGGGGGGAGGUUGGGUCGGUGUAUAACUCGACAGCCCCCAAGGCUAUGGCAGCGAACGUUUUAGUUAUUUUAAUGAUCCAUUACGCCGUAUUAGGGAAUUGGUUCCCUUAUUAAGCAUGUGGCUCCCAUUUUCAUCCUACGGAAAACAAAGGAUUUAAGCGUUGUUUGUUUUGUUUCUUAUUUUUUUUAUUUUUUGUUAGGAACACGCAUGAAAACAAAAAGAACGAAAUCGGUGCCGUAAUCGCUUGUUUUCGAAUAGGAUGAAUAUGGGAGCGUGUGAUUAAUGAUGGAACACAUACCCUAUACAUUUACUUACCAAUCAGUGUUGAUUGAAGAGUCUUCAAUAGUCCUAGGAAUGCAUCCGCUCCGUAAGUUAAUGCAGUAUUCUUCAAACAUGAAAUACACAGAGGAUUUAUCCUUUUAAAUACGUUUUAUUUUUCUCAAAAAUAUACAUUCAAUUUUCUAUUGUUAAUAAUAAUAUUAAAUUUUUUGCACCUCAUCAACUUAAUUUUAUCCUCAAUAUUCUAGAUAUGCUACACAAAUCUUAUUGAUACAUGUUUUUCCAAAAAAAAAAAACAAGCUUAAUAAUUCCCUUUUGACAUUAUAUAAUAAAUUAUAGGAUUUGUUAUUUACACACUAAUUUUGCUCAUUAAAUACAUGUACCGUUGACUGGGGUGUAGUUGAUCAAUGGGGUAAACCUGAUCACUCAAACACCCACGGAUAUAGACUUUUAAGGAAGCAACAGUUAUAUUUUAACCAUUCGCAAUCCAAUGACGAAGCAUUAAAAUGGAAUGGUAACUUCCUUGAAAGUCGAUAUCCGUGGGUAUUUGAGUGAUCAGAUUCACCCCACUGAUCAACUACACCCCAGUUUACGGUACGCUAAACUCUCCAUUUACUUUAAUACGACAUAAAUUGCAACUUAGAUCUUAGAAAUUCUAGGAUAUAAACAUCAUCAUUGACAAGAGAACUAUGCAAUACAAUUAUUAUGUCAUCAAUAAACAUAACUCUGUUGAAAUGAAACGAAAUUCAGUCUGCACAAAUUUAGUGGCGUUGUGUAUUUAAAUUGACCCUCAGAAUAGUAAUUUCAACCGCAAGCCGCUUUUCAGUGUAUGACAGCAUUUAGCAUGCAAGGCGAACUGACGUAUUCUCGGCAGUUUUGUUCUCUUCGUCAAGUUUUUUUGAAAUCUGUUGAAUCAAAGAUGGCGUCAAAUCUUUCCCAAUCAGGCUGAUUUGUACAACUAAGUUUCAAGCAAUUUGGCCUACAAAGUCUGGGGGAGUCUGGGAUUGUGUGACGAGUCAUGUAUUAGCCAAAGGCUUGUUGCUCAAUAAAUAGUAAUACAUAAUAAAUAGGUAUGUGAAAAUAUGGUACGGGAAAAAUGGAGGGAGUAAAAAAUCGAUCAAAAUGCUACGUCAUUUAGGACGCUCCCUAAACUUAUGCCGUUUUUCUUUUUAAUCCAGUUCCACACACUAAGAUUCAGAUGUUCCAGCUCAGUAAUUUUUUCACUGAGUUCAGUAUUUUUUCCAUCUUUUUACUGAGUUUUCAACAGCAGAUUUAUUUCGGUACACUCGGUAAUCGUAUUUACCGUUCACCAGUAACGAUAUUUACCGUGCUUCAGUAACUUUUGACAGUUUGUGAGCUGAGCUCGGUAACUCAUUUACAGAAUAUCCGCAAAAUAAAUAACCGAGCGUACCGAGUUAAAUCUGCUGUUGAGAACUCAGUAUAAAGAUGGGAAAAAUACCGAGCUGAUCUUAGUGUGCAACCUUGGUUAGAACUGGAUGAGACCACAGUUUCAACCCCAAUCCGACUUCGGUUUCGCUUGUACUAAAGUUUGUUUAACGUUGUUUGUUUACACAUUUUCCGCCAAUCCAGUUCCAACCCAGAUUAAAACAGAAAAAUGGCAUUAAAGAGCUAUACUGUGUGGUUUGUUUUUACUUAGCGUGCAUGCCCAUUACAUUCUCUCUUUAUUUCACACAAACGUUAUGCACUCUCUUUCAUCUAAUCGUAUACAUCCCCUCCCUGCGAUCUGCCUGACGACCAAUCAGCAUUCAGCAAUAUGAAUAACCUGUGAAUAACGGAUGGCUGCCUUUGCAUUGGCUACGCCUGUUGUCCUACCACAGUGCAUCAAAACGGCGAUUCCAUCAAAGACAGGCAUAUACGGAAAACACGGAAAACUGAUAUGGAUCUCUGCUUAGGCAAGGAUGAGCAUUUUUGUCACAUUGUCACUUCAGUUGUCUCCCUCAGGCAAUAACCGACUCUUUUUAACAUACAUACUUAUAAAAAUAAACCCAAAUGUGGAAAUCAUAUAAAAGGCAUAUCUAUUGUAUGUAACUUUCAUAACAAAACGCGCUGCCAACUUCCAGUCGGCAUUUCUGAAUCAUCGCAACGAAUCAAGCACCACCUCUGCUGCUGUUUGUGUUAGUGAGAUCGGAGAAACGUCAGACUCCCGCCUGCUGAUUGGUUGCGACGACUCUGGCGACGGUUUCAUCCGCGACGGAUUCAAAUUGUCGCGUUCGAAAAGGGGGGAAACCGUCAAUAUAUAAAUAAAAAUGGAAUGGUGUUUGUAUGUCACGAAUAGGCUCGGGAACGGGUCAACAGAUCGACAUGGUUCUUUCAUUGUUGCAUCCCGCCAGGGCUCCGACGUGUUCGUACGAAAAAAUAAUUAGAAAAAGUGACCGGGAAGGCAAGAAAAACGGGAAAAUCUGAAAUUCCAUUUUGAGGGGCAUUUCUUCACGGAAACGGAUGUCAAAAAACAGAGUAGGCAGGCAGGACGACGUUUGCCGGGACUGCUAGUCUAUAUAUAUAAAAAUGAGUUUGGAGUUCCUUUGAGGCAACAAAACUCAAGAACGGAUGAACCGAUCAGCAUGACUCUUGCGCGAUUCGGUUCGUAUUCGUGGUGGCUGUGUUUAUAUGUACCGUAAAAUGGGGUAACUUUGAUAGUUUUUCAGCGAAUUUUCUCAAUAUUUUUACAUGUAACAGUAUUUCCCCGAUUUUUAUAUUUGUAAAACAAGUACUGGGCUAUCAGUUAUCAAUUGCAAUUAAAAGAUUCGAUAAUCUCAAAUAUUUUGGAUAACUUUUAGUUUUUCAUAUAACCGAAAAUCAGAUUUUCAUUUUGGGGUAACUUUGAUAAUGCCCUAAAACACAUCAAAUCUAAAAAAAUAAUCAGAGAUUGAAAUCUUAGGAGUAUGAACAUGAUGAGAGAAGGCUUGCGGAAUAUAUAAAUAAGAUAGAAUUUUUAUAUAAAAAAAUGUUUUUUUUCUAAAUUCUACAUAUAAAAAUAAGUUUGUGCAGUAUUGAGUGCAAAACACAAUAAAUUUAGCCAUAAAAAAUCAUUAUCUUUGUAAUAAUAAAUGCUUAACGGUACAUCAACAUAUGAUUACAUGCUAUUCAUGGUUAGUUUUCUUGUUUUGGGUAGUUUUUAAUGUUUUAUUAGCAAAUUUUGAACAACACAUAUUUAUCUACAUGCAAUUACAAGGGCAUUGCAUACUUUUAGGCGUUUAUCAAUGUAUGGAGAAUAAUAUCCCAAUUUACAAAAAUGCCUCCAUUUCGUAAAAACGCACUUUGUUAAGGGAUUCAAGGCCAGAUUUGGAAUCUACUAUAAUGAAUCUAUCGAGAAUAAGAGUCCAUUCAUUGAAAAAAUAGUUUUAACAAAGUCGUAUAGCAGAUUGUUUGAAGGGGUUGUUAAACGACAAAAAUAUCAACAAUUUUUAUUUUUUGCCCAAAAAGUUGUAUAUAAACUAGAUUUUAAUGAAAAUACGUCUACGAUGAACUUUCAUAUGUAUAAAAUUGAUUUACGUUUACCUUUUUCUUAACUGGUUGAAGGAAUCAUAGUUAUAAGAUAAAUUACACAAUGCCUGCCGCACUAUCAAAGUUGCCCGCAUUAUCAAAGAUACCCCGGUUUACGGUAUAAAAAGUUACGAAAAUCAACUAGAAAAACAUCAAAAUUGAUAAGGUACUGAUUUUUCAUGAGCUGGGAAGAAAAUCGACACGAGGGAAAUAAAACCAAUCUAGAGUGCGGUGCAACGAUGACCCCAACAGUUGUCAAACCACCACAUCUUGGCAAGACAAAGUUUGCCGGGACAGCUAGUUCUGAAUAAAGACAGAAAAAUUCUGAUUCUUAGCUCGACCCAAUUGGACGUCUCCAAUCUGGCUAUCGACUACUAAGUUUGAAGAAUCCGUAAGCGACCCUUCUGGUUAUCGUCUUAAAGUUAAGUCCGCCGCGUUUAUUCCGCUUCGUGGCAUGGUCCGUUAAACCAUGUUAGUGAUCAGUGUUAAUAGUGACGUAUACUUGUAAUGCGUAAGGACAACGCAUUAUAGGAGAUGGCGACCGUUAGGCAAGGUUCCUGAGUAAAACUGCGUGAAUAAGGAGUAAAUAAGGACUGUAUCGUUAAGCCUUAGUGAACAAGAAUAAAGAAGAAAGUGAACAAUUUUGGCGUGAAAUAGACGCGCAAGCGCGAAGUGUAGUACGUUGUACUCAGCAGAAAUCUCAAAUUACAGACCUCCAUAUUUACAGUAAAUAAGCCUCACAUAUCGAUCGCCCCUGAUUGGUCCGAUCGAUGCUAGGCACCUCCUUCCUCAGAAAGACUAUCAUAGUAUUUGUUUGUGAAAUUCUAGAGUUAAGCUAGCGAUAAGUUAAAAGGAAAUAAACGAGUCAGAGUGAACCUGAAUCUUAAACCAAACAGAUGUCGUUUCGUUAUUUCUCCGAACGACACAUGUGCCAAGGGGGUCUUUGGGGGAGAGUCCGUGGAGAUACGCUCUAAUUCGGCCCACAUAUCAGAGCGCGAGUGCAGAGAAGUUCUGUCGAAAAACCAACAUUCAGUGAGAUAUGACCCGUAUGCAGAUGUUCUUCAUUCUUCCCUAUUUCUUGGAGGACGGUGCAAAGACAAGGUUUGUCGCACCAUAUUUGAGAAUAGAAUAUGGUUACAGUGAGGAACCUGGGUAGCCGUGAAAGAUGUUCCAAAGAUAGAUUGGAUCGGGGAAUACCGGUAUUAUCUGAAAGACUGUGCGGGUCCUCUGGUCCAGUGUGGCAGUAGGUCUUUGUUCUAUUUCUGGCUGUCUUCGACUGACUAAUUGUAGAUCGGGAUUCAGUGGUUACUACAAAAGAAUAAUCAGGAACCAAUCACUAGGACAAGAAGACGACGGAAUCUUUUAUCAACCUUGAUAGGACUGAUACACCAUUACUCUCUGAUACCACAGGCCCGGGUAAUACAGAAGGUCAAAGAACACUUAUAUUGAUAAUUAUGUACUCCUCUUUUUAUAAUACCAAUGAAAACUACCCAUAAACUUAGCAUGACUGAUGAAUGAGUCCGGGCCAAUUGACGAUCAUCAGUGGCCUAUAGUACUUUAGAUUUCACUCAAAGCCACACUGAGCACCUCAACCUCCGACUUUUAUGCUGUGCAUUGCCAGUCCGCUACUUCUCACGCUAUUUUAAGUAGGGUAGAAGCUUCAGUUUUGGCCAGCCCGGAGUUUUGGCCAUAGUGCGGUAUUCAGCCUGUUACGAUCUAAAUCGGCAUAAAUUUAUUUUUUACUAGUAAAUUCUAAUAUAAUAUGAUGAUAACAGGUGUGAAAACCAAACAUUUUAAUUAAAAACUGGAAGAAAAAAAUAAUUUUCCUUAAAAAAAUCAGCUCCCAUAUAUCUAUUUUGGCCAGGGUGCUUCUAAUUUGGCCACUCCCAUAAGAAAUACACGUGAUUGGCCAAAAUAGAAACCAAAGCUGAGAAUAUGGCCAAAACUGCGGCAAUACUUCUAUUUUGGCCAGUGCCACUUUUGAUACAAAAAUCAAGUAGUAGCUUGAUUUCUGCAUUUUUCUAAUAAACUAUAAAUUGAAACCUUUCAUUUGACACAUUGGUAGUUUUCAUUGAAAUAUUGGUUGUUUUUAUAAAAAUGAUUUCCCUUAGACUGGCCAAAACCGGUGCCCGCACCCUAGAUUGUUAACGAAACAUCGUGACUAAUGAAAAUCUCAACCCAAUCAAUAAACGAACAUUACAAAAAUUGCUGAUUUUGAUAUUAAACGUGCAACUUCCUUCACUGAUAUUCUCAAUUUACUAUCGGAAUAAACUCCUGAAAAUCAUGUGCAAACGGCUGUGCGAUUCAUAAAAUCCAAAUUAAUAAGAAAGGCAAGAUAAGGACAAAUAAUUUAGCCACAAUACAGGUUAUAAUAGAUGAUUUGAAAGCACGUUGCAAAAGUCAAGAAAAACCAGAAUCACUUAUAACUAAAUUGAAGCAACUGAGAAAGCCAUCAACAACCAAGCUUUGCGAUGAAAUCGAAAGUCUGACUUUAAAAUUGAAAAGCCUCUACAUGGAACAGAAAGUUCCGGAAGAGGUAGCAAACUCAAUGGCAACCGUGGAAAGAUGGGUAUUCUGAAAGUCAAUGAAAAUGUAAGUUCUGAAAAUGCCCAGGUAUUAUUCACCAACUCCAUAAAGUGUAACAAGCAAUCGUUCCGCAACAAUCCUCGAUUUAAUUCAAGCCAGGUUUAACUGUAUGGGUAAGCCUGGCUUACCGGUUAAGCCGAGGUGAAGAAAUCGGCCCUUACUCUCUUUCGUCACAAUUCUAGCACAGGAAAAAUGCACCGAACCAUAGUCAAGUCCAUUUCUUGCCUCCACAGUAGCAGCGUGAGAGAUCCGACAAUAGCAAACGCAAGGAUCCUGGCUGUAGUGAUAGAGGCAGUACGCACGUAACAAAGAAGCGUAAUUUACGACCAAAAACUAGCAUGGUGCAGCCGUUCAUAAGAAUGCAUUGUAAGUCACCAAAGGAAAACGUUUCAUAGUGUCGAACAACAAACGGAAGGCUAGGCCACGAUACUGAAGAUUUGAACAUUCUCUGCGAUAGGUCGCUGCUUGAAAGUCGUGGCAUAGAACAAAAACGAAUUUCAUUUUAAUCAAAUGAGUAAUAAAAUUUUACUAUCAGUGAACAGUCGAUUCAUAACAAUUGAACAAGCCUACCCUUUAGGACGCUAAUCAAUAACUAGUAAAGGUUCUACAAGAUUCUGGCUAACCGCUAGAGCAAUAAAACGUGAGUAAGUUUUAAAUUAAGGAAGACGCUCGGUCGCAGGCACUAGAAGCUAGUGUUUGAUAAUGUUUCAGCCUUACUAAAUGUACCAAAAAAGGAUUAGCUUAAAUGCAAGUGUAAAGAGAAAGCGGGAUUAGGACAUUACAUGGAAAAGUUAGCCGCGCAUGCGUACUGAGCAUCAAUUCCAAAAUUUUGGGCUAGGUACACUAUAACCGACAUUUUCAUAUGAAUAAACAGUUCUUGAUUGACACUCAAGCGACUCUCAUCGAUGUUUUCAUCCGAAACCAUCCAUCUCCAAACAUAAUUAAACUAAUCAGAAAACCAGCGCAAGUUUCUCCUCAGGCCGAUAUACUGCCCCUCCUUAGUCGGGCAAGUAGAUCCUAGGCAUUCUUAGUCUGGAACCUGUUUCAAAGCCGAGUAUAUCUGCAAUUGUCGCACUCCGUUAAUGUUCGCGCCGCGUCCUUCGCUCGAUGUUACGCGCGGUGUCAACAUUUGGUGGCUCCAGCCUAGGAAUUCUACAGACUCCAAAUAAAACGAAGUGUGGCCUGUGCAAAGAAGUGAGAAGCAGAAUAAGCACAAAGCCAAGUGCUAGAAAGGUGCAAAGAAGAAGAAGAAGAAGCUGAUGUGAGAGACAGAAGAAGAAGUGAGAAGCAGAAUAAGCACAAAACUAAGUGCUAGAAAGGUGCAAAGAAGAAGAAACAGAUGUGAGAAGCAGAAGAAGUCAGAAGCAGAAUAAGCACAAAACCCAAGUGCUAGAAAGGUACAAAGAAGAAGAAACAGAUGUGAGAGGCAGAAGAAGAAGUUAGAAGCAGAAUAAGCACAAAAGCCAAGUGCUAGAAAGGUGCAAAGAAGAAGAAGAAGAAGUGAGAGACAGAAUAAAAACGAAAGCCAAAUGCCAAAAAUUUCUAGAUGAAAAUUUAAGAAAAGGCGUAAAAAUAUAAAGAAUGCAAGAUUUAAUAGACGAAGUCAAUUAUCUUGUUGAAAGAUUCCAUUUGAUCGUCAAACAAACAAAAUCAAAAAUUCAAAAACUUUUAUAAGUGGAGUAAAAAGCCACUCCUAUCAGGAGAAAUAAGCGAAACAAAAAAGUUUACAUUGACCCUUUGGAAAAAUACAUCAAGAGAAGAAAAAGUUAUGCAUUCAAUUUCUAAAAUUUUGGAGUUGAAAAAUAAACCAAUACCUCAACACCGUAAAAAGCUCAUUGAGAUAGAGCGAAUUGAAGAGAACAAUAAACGUAACUAAAAACAUAGAAAGAAAAAAAAACAGUUAAAUAAACUAGCGCCGAAUUGUGGACAAAAAGAAGAACUACAUUGUGUGAAUUCAGAACAAUCACCAGGAACAUUCAGUUUAAUAGUGCUUAGGAUUGCUCUACGGAAUCUCUAAGUGCAAGGACAACACGCAAAGGUACGUAAAGAGAAAAAUAACGAAAGAAACCAUCACGAUGGAAUUUAAUUUCACACAAAACCCAAAUGGCCAUUGCCGUCUAUGUACCCAGAAGGACGGGGUACAAGACAUGGUCGCUUGCGAUUACUGUGAUCACUGGUUCCAUUAUGGAUGUGCGGGACUGUGUAAGCUUCCGGAAAAAAAAUCUCUGGUUAUGUGUUUAAUGCGCAAAGUUCCAAUACGAACAAAAUACCAUGAAGCAACAGCUAGCGGAUAUGGAAAAACUAAAACAACAAAUGGAGGUAUUGCGAUUGGAAAUUGACGCACUAACAAAGGCACAACGAUCUGCAGAAGUACACGCAGACUCUAUUGAAGCAGAACUCGCUCACUGUAAGGAUAAACUAAAUGCUAAAACCAGGAAGAAGGUCGCAAGCAGAAUGCGCUGUGCCUACAUCUGAUUUACAUCAAUAUAAAUUCUUUACCCUUAGCAGACCACCCUGCUUCAUACAGUUCAUAAAACUGCAACAUAAAUCUUUUACCGAAACCUAAAGCAUGUCGUAACCACUCGAGGUGACAGACCCGAACCAUACCCAGGUCAAUUUACAUUUCACAGCGUGAGAACACAAAUGCGAACGAACUACAAUGUAACAGUCAGCAGUAUGCAUUCUAUUUUACUUAACCCAUCUGAUUCCUAUUAACGACACACAACUAACUGACUAGCACAGCGCAACUCUAUCUGUCCUUCUCUAUAUCUCUAUAUACUUUAAACCGUUAGUGAGGAUCGAUACAUAUUUGAUCGAUCCCGAAAUCCAUGUAACCUAGCAAGUAAGAUUGGUUGAAAUAAAACAUUCAUUCAAAACCGAACCACCAAAGUAUCUGCUUGUGACGACAAGUCCCCACACAUGCAGUGCCCUAUUCCAUGCUUACUACACAUCAAUGGUGAAAAAAGUAGCACAGCAAGAAAUUAAGUUACACGGUAAACAGGAGGUAGCUUGUCACAAAAUUCAUCAACGAUGUGGCCGCAGGAAGAGCUACCGUGGAGACGGGUCAGUGUCAUUUGGCAUAGUCAUUUGGCAUAAGGCCGUUCGGCAUAAGGUCACUUGACAUAAAGACAUUUGGCAUAAUAAAGAAGGGUGCAUUUCGAUUAUGCCAAAUGACCGUAAUGCCAAAUGUCUUUAUGCCAAGUGGCCUUAUGCCAAAUGUCCAGCUCUCGUUUAUAACAGAGGUGGACAGUACAAUAAUGAUUAUAACAGAGGCGGACAGUACAAUAAUAGUUAUAACAGUCAGUACAACCAUGUUAUAACAGAGGUGGUCGGCAGAAUAACUAUCCCCAACAAGUGUAUACUACAAAU